GUGUUGGUGGUUCAGUGGCAGAAUUCUUGCCUGCCAUGCAGGAGGCCUGGGUUCAAUUCCUGGCCAAUGCA
RNAcentral lists this transfer RNA (71 nucleotides) under Lepidothrix coronata (blue-crowned manakin). It matches the Rfam family "tRNA". Rfam says of the family: Transfer RNA (tRNA) molecules are approximately 80 nucleotides in length. Their secondary structure includes four short double-helical elements and three loops (D, anti-codon, and T loops). Further hydrogen bonds mediate the characteristic L-shaped molecular structure. tRNAs have two regions of fundamental functional importance: the anti-codon, which is responsible for specific mRNA codon recognition, and the 3' end, to which the tRNAs corresponding amino acid is attached (by aminoacyl-tRNA synthetases). tRNAs cope with the degeneracy of the genetic code in two manners: having more than one tRNA (with a specific anti-codon) for a particular amino acid; and 'wobble' base-pairing, i.e. permitting non-standard base-pairing at the 3rd anti-codon position. The record is from Rfam by way of RNAcentral. Lineage: Eukaryota; Metazoa; Chordata; Aves; Passeriformes; Pipridae. RNAcentral also lists the same sequence under 2 other names.